UACGAAGGGGGCUAGCGUUGCUCGGAAUCACUGGGCGUAAAGCGCACGUAGGCGGAUUGCUAAGUCAGGGGUGAAAUCCUGGAGCUCAACUCCAGAACUGCCUUUGAUACUGGCGAUCUUGAGUCCGGGAGAGGUGAGUGGAACUGCGAGUGUAGCGGUGAAAUGCGUAGAUAUCGGAAGGAACAUCAGUGGCGAAAGCGGCUUCCUGGACCAGUACCGACGUUCAGGCACGAAAGCGUGGGGAGCAAACAAG
This 253-nucleotide ribosomal RNA is filed under the name uncultured bacterium. RNAcentral describes it as "partial 16S ribosomal RNA". It matches the Rfam family "Bacterial small subunit ribosomal RNA", at positions 524 to 776 of the family's 1533-position model. The record is from RNAcentral.